Molecule: ribosomal RNA, 497 nt
Filed under: uncultured bacterium
Lineage: Bacteria
Description: partial 16S ribosomal RNA
Rfam family: Bacterial small subunit ribosomal RNA
Source: RNAcentral
GAUGAACGCUGGCGGCGUGCCUAAUACAUGCAAGUCGAGCGAACAGACGAGGAGCUUGCUCCUCUGACGUUAGCGGCAGACGGGUGAGUAACACGUGGAUAACCUACCUAUAAGACUGGGAUAACUUCGGGAAACCGGAGCUAAUACCGGAUAAUCUAUUGAACCGCAUGGUUCAAUAGUGAAAGACGGUUUUGCUGUCACUUAUAGAUGGAUCCGCGCCGCAUUAGCUAGUUGGUAAGGUAACGGCUUACCAAGGCAACGACGCGUAGCCGACCUGAGAGGGUGAUCGGCCACACUGGAACUGAGACACGGUCCAGACUCCUACGGGAGGCAGCAGUAGGGAAUCUUCCGCAAUGGGCGAAAGCCUGACGGAGCAACGCCGCGUGAGUGAUGAAGGUCUUCGGAUCGUAAAACUCUGUUAUUAGGGAAGAACAAAUGUGUAAGUAACUAUGCACGUCUUGACGGUACCUAAUCAGAAAGCCACGGCUAACUACGUG